CCGAGCGGCCCCGCCUUCCUCGGGUGGCCGGGUUGGGAGAAGCCCCGGCGGAGCCCCGCGGCGGGGAAGGACGGGGCGGCGAGGACGCGUGGCGGCGGCCUCCUUGUCGGCCGCGCGUUCCCCCACCCACGUGGGUGCCUGGGACCCUCGCUUGUUGGCGCGGCUGCCCUUCCGCCGCCACCCAGCCUCCGGCCGCCUGAUACGGGGCCAGGCGCGGAGUCGCCCCGAAGCUUCCACAUCGAGCAUGGAACCCAACCCAUUCUGCUCUAAUGGAGCCGACCCCGUUGGAGUCCAACGCGGAGGUUCUGACUGGGGCAGGCCUUGCAGUUAAGAACUUGGACUCUGGAAUCGGAAAGCCUGGCCCCAGAGCCCACGACCGCUGCUUAUGAUCUAGUAGCUUCCGGCAAAGUCCUGAACCUCUCGUGGUCUACUGGCCACGACAGGAAACAGGCCAAGAGUGAGGAACUAACUAACUAACUUGCCAAGUCACGGACUGAGUAAGCGAUUUGAAUCUGUGAAUCGAGGUGCGUUUGACUCUUGUCUCCUAAAACAGGACUAGAUCGAGGGGAGAGAGGGCAUUCCAGGAAGCCAUCCCAGAUUUGGUCCCCGGCUUGCCAGCAUGGAAGCCUGAGACGUAUUUCGGUUUCCACGCCCCAGUGUUUGCAUCUUGAAAUGAGUGUCCUUUAGGUGGGCGGAUCUCUUCACGGUGUUAGUCAUCCCUUGCUUCUGGGACAUAAUAGAUUAAAGGACUUCCUAGCCGGUGA
This is a long non-coding RNA of Felis catus (domestic cat), 764 nucleotides long. RefSeq lists it as uncharacterized. The transcript has 3 exons. NCBI's taxonomy places the organism in Eukaryota, Metazoa, Chordata, Mammalia, Carnivora, Felidae. The record is from RefSeq and is a predicted model, not a curated record.